This 281-nucleotide long non-coding RNA is filed under the name Phoenix dactylifera (date palm). Its description in RNAcentral is "long non-coding RNA (PDAC_LNC005445)". Lineage: Eukaryota; Viridiplantae; Streptophyta; Magnoliopsida; Arecales; Arecaceae. The record is from RNAcentral.
UGUUGAAUGUUUUCUAAUUUAAAUUAAACAAAGGGCAGAAGGAAAACUUUGCAAUUGAAAUUGGAUGCAGAGUAGGGAUCGAUUUCUAAAAACAGAUUAUGAAUUAAAAUCGUCAGUGUGAACAGCAAAAAUAAAUUUCAUAGUUAUCUUAAAACUAAAAAUUUCAGAAUAUAAAAUAAAUUGCGGAGACUAAACCAAACCUAGAGCACGGAUUGUAUAAAAGAAAAUUGAUAGAUUGUAUAUUAAGCAAAUAUUAAACCAAACCUAAAACACGGAUUUCA